This 425-nucleotide ribosomal RNA is filed under the name uncultured bacterium. Its description in RNAcentral is "bacterial SSU rRNA". It matches the Rfam family "Bacterial small subunit ribosomal RNA", at positions 354 to 796 of the family's 1533-position model. The record is from RNAcentral.
GUGGGGAAUCUUGCGCAAUGGGCGAAAGCCUGACGCAGCCAUGCCGCGUGAAUGAUGAAGGUCUUAGGAUUGUAAAAUUCUUUCACCGGGGACGAUAAUGACGGUACCCGGAGAAGAAGCCCCGGCUAACUUCGUGCCAGCAGCCGCGGUAAUACGAAGGGGGCUAGCGUUGCUCGGAAUUACUGGGCGUAAAGGGCGCGUAGGCGGACAGCUUAGUCAGAGGUGAAAGCCCAGGGCUCAACCUUGGAAUUGCCUUUGAUACUGGCUGUCUUGAGUUUGGGAGAGGUGAGUGGAACUCCGAGUGUAGAGGUGAAAUUCGUAGAUAUUCGGAAGAACACCAGUGGCGAAGGCGACUCACUGGCCCAAUACUGACGCUGAGGCGCGAAAGCGUGGGGAGCAAACAGGAUUAGAAACCCUUGUAGUCC